CUGGCUCAGGACGAACGCUGGCGGCGUGCCUAAUACAUGCAAGUCGAGCGGAUGAUAAAGGAGCUUGCUCCUUUAGAUUCAGCGGCGGACGGGUGAGUAACACGUGGGCAACCUGCCUGUAAGACUGGGAUAACUUCGGGAAACCGGAGCUAAUACCGGAUAACUCUUCGAACCUCAUGGUUCGAAGAUAAAAGAUGGUUUCGGCUAUCACUUACAGAUGGGCCCGCGGCGCAUUAGCUAGUUGGUGA
RNAcentral lists this ribosomal RNA (248 nucleotides) under Schinkia azotoformans MEV2011. RNAcentral's name for it is "Bacillus azotoformans MEV2011 partial 16S ribosomal RNA". It matches the Rfam family "Bacterial small subunit ribosomal RNA", at positions 19 to 255 of the family's 1533-position model. The record is from RNAcentral. Lineage: Bacteria; Bacillati; Bacillota; Bacilli; Caryophanales; Bacillaceae.